Molecule: ribosomal RNA, 1206 nt
Filed under: Trichiurus lepturus (Atlantic cutlassfish)
Lineage: Eukaryota; Metazoa; Chordata; Actinopteri; Scombriformes; Trichiuridae
Description: partial 16S ribosomal RNA
Rfam family: Bacterial large subunit ribosomal RNA
Source: RNAcentral
GCAGGGAUCUCCCCCCGUACCUUUUGCAUCAUGAUUUAGCUAGCACUCUUCAAGCAAAACGUACUUUAGUUUGAAACCCCGAAACUACGGUGAGCUACUUCAAGCCAGCCUAUCCAUAGGGCCAACCCGUCUCUGUCGCAAAAGAGUGGGAAGAGCUUCAAGUAGAGGUGAAAAAUCUACCGGACCUAGUUAUAGCUGGUUGCCUGAGAAAUGAAUUUUAGUUCAGCCUUUAUGCUUCUCUCGAAGCCUAAAGAGUUAGUCAAAGGAGGUACAGCUCCUUUGAAACAAGACACAACUUUCCCAGGUGGAUAUAGAUCAUACACCCUUAAGGACCCAGCCGAUGUGGGCUUAAAAGCAGCCACCCAACAAUUAACGCGUUAUAGCUAAGGCAAAAAAUCCAGAUUCCCCGAUCUUACUCCCCUAACCCCAACCCACCAGGCCCGCCAUGCUGUCAUGGCAGUGACCAUGCUAAUAUGAGUAAUAAGAAAGGCCUCUCUCCCCGCACACAUAUACCUCGAAAUGAACCCCCACCGAAACUCAACGGACCCAAACGAAGAGGGGAUUUGGACAUACCUAGAAAACCCCCACCCGUUAACCCUACACUGGUGUGCCCCUAAGGAAAGACUAAAAGAAGAAGAAGGAACUCGGCAAACGAGCCCCGCCUGUUUACCAAAAACAUCGCCUCUUGCAAAUAUAAGAGGUCCCGUCUGCCCCCUGACUAUAUGUUCAACGGCCGCGGUAUCUUAACCGUGCGAAGGUAGCGUAAUCAUUUGUCUUUUAAUUGAGGACCCGUAUGAAUGACAUAACGAGGGCUCAACUGUCUCCUUCUUUCAGUCAAUGAAAUUGAUCUCCCCGUGCAGAAGCGGGGAUUUAUACAUAAGACGAGAAGACCCUAUGAAGCUUUAGACACUCGGACAUACCCUGUCAAGACCCCCCCUAUUAAAGGGCCAGAACCUGCCCACCAUGUCCAUGUCUUAGGUUGGGGCGACCCCGGGGAACAAAAAUCCCCCACGUGGAACAGUAGAAUAUCCACAACCAAGAGCCACGACUCUAAAAACCAGAACCUCUGACCACAAUAAUGACCCGGCAAUGCCGAUCAACGAACCAAGUUACUCUAGGGAUAACAGCGCAAUCCCCUUUUUAGAGACCGCAUCAACAAGGGGGUUUACGACCUCGAUGUUGGAUCAGGACAUCCUAAUGGUGCAG